Molecule: long non-coding RNA, 3425 nt
Filed under: Marmota monax (woodchuck)
Lineage: Eukaryota; Metazoa; Chordata; Mammalia; Rodentia; Sciuridae
Source: RNAcentral
CUGUGGUCAGUUGGGCCAUUGAGCCAAAUCUUAUUCCAGUCCUUGCCAACCUCCUAGUCACUGUACUAAAUGCCACCAGGUGGGCCAUUGAGCUGUUGAUUGCCCUUUUGCCCAGUGAGGCAGGUGGUCACACAGCCCCAUCACAACACAAGCAGAACCUCUGAGACUAGCUAUGGAUGACUGAUGAGGACUGGGAUACCAACAUUGAACUAAUGCCAGAACCCAGGUAACCAUUGUAGUAGCAGGUAGGCUCAUCACUUUCCUUUUGAACACCAGGCUACAUUCUCAGUACUUGUCCACCUCUACUUCUAUGACCUCCAUUGUCGUGGUGGGAGGCAAAUCAUAUCAACCACUAAGAAUGCCACCUCUUACAUGCUCAUUCACGAGAUCCCUUUCUCCCACUCUUUCCUCAUUAUUCCCCAAUGCCCCACUCACUCCCUUACUAGGUCUAGAUAGAUCUCUUAAGUAACUAUAGCUCAUCCAUUUCGUUUAAUCUUCCAUGCUGUACUCUCUCCAAGACGUAUCCCCAUUCCAACUCCUACUCCUCCUAUCACUUACAAUAACUCCCUCAUCAAUACUCUUGCCCCCAUCCUUGGUCAAUCCCCAGAUAUGGGACAUACACAACCCCUCUGUAGCCACACACCAAGAGACCAUCCACAUCACACUCAAAAACCCAUCUCUUUCCACUCCAAUCCCAAUAACCACUAAAAUAGCCUUAGGGGACCCAUCAAUUCUCACCUCCUAGUCAAAGGCCUAUAUCCUGCAGACUCCCCUCAUAACACACCCAUUCUCACCAUCAAGAAAACCCUCAGGUGCCUUCCAUUUGGUCCAAGACUUUGCAUCCAUCAACAUAGCAGUAGUCCCUUUACACCCCAUUGUUACAAAUCCAAACACUGUCUUGUCCUCCACCCCUGCCUCCACAACACACUUUUCUGUUCUAGACUUUAAGGAUGCCUCUUUACCCAUUCCCUUACAAAAAGAUUCUAAAGCCCUCUUUGCUUUUACCGAACUGACCUAGACACCCAGGUAUCCAUUCAGCUUACAUGGACAGUCCUUCCUCCGGGUUUUAGAGAUAGCCUCCACCUUUUUGGACAAGCCUUAGCCUGAGACCUCAUCUACCUAUCUUUGUCACCAUCAUUCCUCCUCUAAUACAUGGAUGACCUUCUUGUAGAUGACCUUCUUUUCUGCAGCCCUUCUGUAUACCAUAGUAAAACCUACACAGCCAAAUUAUUAAAAUUCUUGGCCUAGCAAGAAUAUCUCAUCUCCCCCUCUAAGGUUCACCUUUCUCUUCCCACAGUCACUUACUUGGGCUUCCAAAUAACCCUGCCCACAAGGCCAUCACAGUGGAUCCCAAAAUCUUAUUUCUCACCUUCCUGUUUCUACUACCAUGGCUGAAGUACUCUCAUCGUUCUUGGGACUAACAGGAUACUUUAAGACAUGGAUACCCAGUUACUCUUUGCUGGCCCGACCCCUUCUCAGUGCCACAAAUCCUCCCUUGAAGAGCUCCUCAUCAUACCCAUCAACACUUCCUUUUGGGCCCUCCACCAAGCCCUCCUACAGGCCUCAGCCCUUCACUUACCCAACAUUGGGAAAGCAGUGGCAUUUCUCUCAAAGGCCUUUGAAUAGCAAUGGCAUUUCUCUUAAAGCACCUUGACCCAACAAUACAACAAUACACCUUGCUUUGGGGUAAUAGCCUCCUCAGUCAUUUUAAUCCAGGAGUCAAAACAAAAGAAACCUAGCAUUUGGGUCACCUCUAAUAGUCCUCUCCCCUCAACACUUAACUGAAUUACUCUCCUAUAAGGGUUCUCAGACUCUGCCCCCUUCCCAUAUUUUUUCCCCUUCAGAUCUCACUGAUUGAGGACCUCACUCUAACCUUCAAAACAUGCCCACCGCUCAGUCACUUUACUCUACUUUCUCCUCCUAAUGACUUUAAUCUUCAUCAACUUCUCCAUUCCAGUUACUCCCCUAUCCCUCCCAUAUUCAGGAAGAACCCUUGCCAACUCCCUCAUACACUUGGUUCAUGGAUGGGUGUUCCUUUUCUCAUGAUCACCACAGCUUUAGAAGUGAUAGAGUGUAACUCCCUACCCCCCAGCACCACCAAUCAACAAGCAAACUUAAUAGCUCCAACCCAAGCAUUCACCCAAGCUAAGAGUUAAUCUUUGAUCAUUUAUACAGAUUCUAAAUAUUGCUUUCAUAUAUUAUUAGCUCAUGCAGCAAUAUGGAAAGAGUAAGUACUCAUGACUACCAAAGGCUCCUCCAUCAUCAACACUUCAUACAUCAAUGCCCUCCUAGAAGUCUCCCUUCUCCCUUCUAUAGGCAUAGUACUUUGCAAAACCAUCAGUGAGAUAAUUCCAUUAUUACAGCAGGUAGCAACCUGGCAAAUCAAAUGGCCCACAGGCAGCUCUAUACCCACUCCCCAACAAUGAAUCCAACACCAUUCUCCUUUCUACACCCCAGACACUUCCCAAAACACAUCUGCACCCCCAAUACCACACAAGAUACCUAUCACAUCCUCACCUAUCUACACCACUUACUUCACCCUAAAUUCUCUUCUUUAAGAGACUUUAUCAAACAAUUUUUAAUUGUCACCACAGACCAUAUCAAAUUCUUCCAGGACCUCUCUUCAUUCUGAGAGAGAUGUAAAAACAAAACAAACAAACAAAAAACUAAUCCUUCCUCUAACAUUUCAUCCUCCCAUCCCAAUGCAGUUACUCCACCUAAUGGCUUGUCCCCUAAAUGGAUGGGACCAUAUGAAGUUACUCUUACCACCUCAACUGCCGCCAAUCUUAAGGGGUUCCCCAACUGGAUACACAUUUCAGCUCUCAAAACCUGCCCUCACCUUCACUUCACUGCAAUGCCCACAGGGCCACUCACCUUGUGGCUCAAACAGACAAAAGCCUCCAAACUUCACCUGGUAUCAGAACAACUCAAAGACCAUACAACCCCAGAUAAGUGACUCCCUCUUCCCUUCUCAUUACUAUCAAUUUCUUCUCAUCCUAUGGACAGAGCUGGCCUCUGACCCAGGACUUCCAAGGCCUAUGACUCCCACUUUCCUCUUCUAGCUCCUUCAGGACUUACAUUUUUAGGGAUCCUUUUCCAACUUCACCCCAACUAAAAUUUACCUCUUUUCUAAAUGCCAUUCUCUGCCUAGCCUUCUGUUACCAUGUGUUUUCAAGUUUUUACAGAAAACCAUCAUGGAAAGGACUAAGACCUACACCAAUGAAGUGAUCAAUAAGAUGCUUCUGGGAUAAUAUGCUCACUUGAAAGAAGAAACCUCCCUCUAGGACCUGUCUCUGCCCCAUCACCACCCCCAUGCCAGUAGGAAUUAGCCAUAAGAAGAAGAGACCUCCAUCCAUAAGCCACCCUAAGCCCUAGUAUUAAAAAAGGGAGGAAUGUUGACAUAACUACAGCCAUUUUCCUUUUCC